ACAAAUCAUUUCUUAAUUCCAAAGUAUCGUCAGCCGGGGUAAGAUUGUGCCAUCUAACCCGUAAUUCGUCAGUCAUCUCUUCCGUGUUCAAAGAUUGAUUGUUCUUGGUUAAGUAUUUAUUCAAGAAAGAUUGUGUGAUCGCCAUGGGAUGGUUUACAAAUUAUGGGUUUGUAUGCCACAAUCUCACCCCGGCUUACGGUAACUUAAAAGAUUAAUGUAUCGGACUAUUUCGGCAGUGCUUUUUUUUGGCAAGUCAGGCAUUAGACUACCGUAAAGCGCCCUAUUUCUGCGCGGUUCUUAAUUUUGCGCACUUCAUAUUAAAAUGUUAAAAAAAUAUCAAAUAAAAGCAGAUUUUCAAAAAUGAUGUUUGGAAGUGAUUUCCUAUGUAUAACUGUUAACUUUCUGCCUAGGUUUUCUUUUUUACUAAACAGCAUUAACAUUUUGAUACUAAGUGCACAGUAUUAAGAGCCGUGCAGAAUUAGGGCGCCUCACGGUACUGUAAAAAAUUAUCGAAGAAUCCACUGCCGUGGUAGUCCAAUACCUUAUUCAAAAUAAUAUAAGUAAGCGAAACAUGCAUAGUUGAUCAUGUUUUGAAUACUAACCUUGUACCGGUGUUAUCAGCGUGGGAAUGGAAAGGGAUGGGUUUACUGACCACUAUACUAUCGAGGCAUGCGGAUUUGUGCUGCUGUAAGGCUAAAACAUUGAAUUAGCAAUAAACAGUUGAUAUUUAAGAAAAUUUAAUAUCAAUCAAUCAAGAAUAAUUUGGAGUUAACCCUCUGGUGCCCAGUGCCGUCUUCAGGCGGUCUUCAGUUGAACCUAAACAGCUUCAAUAAAUACUUGAAAAAUGUUUGUAAAGAUUCAUAGUGAUUUUUCGAAGUCCGUCUAAAAACUAAUUUGGGCACUAGAGGGUUAACAUGUUAAGAGACAACAAUUUAUAAGAUUUACCACAUUAAAGCUAUUUUUUUCAGUAACUUACAGCAGCACGAUGACGUUAUAUUGUAUUUUAUUUUAAGUCCAGCUCACUUGUAAAUGUUGACUUAGCACCAUGUCAGUCAAUGUUUGUUUCUACUGGACAAGACUAAAGCUGAUCAUCUGCAAAGAUGUCCGUAUCAUAUCGGGCUUCUUUCUCGCAAAAUUAGCGACAAUUCUUCGCUGCUAAAAUAAUUGUUUGUUUUUUUAUUAGAUCAUUACCUGAUACCAUUUUAUCUUUUCAGGCUAAAGCAUGCUGUUAUGGAAUCUGCGGUUUAAUAUAGGGAAAUCGUCAGCAGUUCAGGAUAGUUUGAAUAAUGUUUAAUAAGUUGGAACCUGUGUUGAACUUUCACUUGCAAUGAUUCUACGAGAGAAUAUCUACACCUCACAACGCUUCUACGUAAAAAACAAUCAGGGUUAACCAGCUUUUUAAAACAUAAAUGGUGGAAUUUUAACUGCACCCACUAAUUUCGGAGCCGGAUUUACUGUGAAGAUUGACUUUCAACACGAAGCCAUUUUCUUCAGCAGGCCAGGCAAAGACGACGGAAACGGAGUUUCAUAGCGAACCGGGGUGCAACAAGUGGACAAUACCAAAACAACUGGCAAUUUACAUCAAUUAUUCGAUGUGAAGGUAUCCGAUGUGAAGAAAACGAAAAGGUCGUUCGUGCUUGGAUAUGAUUUGCUAAACGUCUUAAGUUGUCAAAUCAUCCCUCUGUUCAAAAGUGCAUGACUACUACUACUGAUUAUGUUUCAAAAUCUACAAUCGUUGUUGGCACGGCAGAACAAAGGCUUGGCGGUUUACAGGAAUGGAACUGGAUAAUUCAAAGUGACUGUCUAAUUCGAAGUCUUCAUUCACUGAGAUCUAAGAUGUUGAAGUUGGAAUCUGAAAAAUGAAAAUGUCGUUUGGUCACUCAAAAAAUCAGGUUACAGGAUUGUUUGAAAAUCAUUGCGAUCAACUAUUUCGAAGCUGUAAUUGUUGAACUGGAUUUGAUUAUACCUGAAGUAAUGUUCGCAUGCAAAUAUUGAUCAAUGGCACAGUAAAUAUUACGAAGUUUGAUGCGAUGCCAAAGUAUUCAUCGAUUAAUCGCCUUCAAGAAAUUCAGCAAGUCGUUACUUUUGUAGGGGUAUGUGGCGGGACCAUCAUCAUCAAAACCUUCUACUGUAAUACUUAAAAGCGUGACGCUGUCGGUGCGUUGCGACAAAUGUAAGUAAUAUAGUGAACGUCUCUUAUUAUCACAAAUUUUCUAUGAUGAACAAAACAAAUCCUUACCUACAUUAAUUGAGUAGCAAUGAAAAAAAAAAACAAUUAUUCUGACCUCAAUUUUAUUUGCAACUUUUUAGUCUCUCUUGUAUUAUUCUGAAAAUUAGAUUUGUUUUUGUUUUCCAGGUGUGACUUCAGUGGAAUGAUAAAUGAUUUUCCUAAAUGUUAUAAAUG
This is a long non-coding RNA of Wyeomyia smithii (pitcher-plant mosquito), 2404 nucleotides long. RefSeq lists it as uncharacterized. The transcript is spliced from 18 exons. Lineage: Eukaryota; Metazoa; Arthropoda; Insecta; Diptera; Culicidae. The record is from RefSeq and is a predicted model, not a curated record.